GGUGGCAUGGCAUAGUGGUUUAAGUGUUGGAUUAUGACUCUGGAGACCAGGGUUCAAUUCACCACUGGGCCAUGA
Molecule: non-coding RNA, 75 nt
Organism: Phrynosoma platyrhinos (Desert horned lizard)
Lineage: Eukaryota; Metazoa; Chordata; Lepidosauria; Squamata; Phrynosomatidae
Source: the annotation of a GenBank genome assembly